GCAAGUCGAGCGGAAACGAUGAAAAGCUUGCUUUUCAGGCGUCGAGCGGCGGACGGGUGAGUAAUGCUUGGGAAUAUGCCUUAUGGUGGGGGACAACAGUUGGAAACGACUGCUAAUACCGCAUAAUGUGCUUAACGUGGUGUUAAGUACCAAAGGGGGGGACCUUCGGGCCUCUCGCGAUUGGAUUAGCCCAAGUGAGAUUAGCUAGUAGGUGGGGGAAAGGCUCACCUAGGCGACGAUCUCUAGCUGGUUUGAGAGGAUGAUC
RNAcentral lists this ribosomal RNA (265 nucleotides) under uncultured bacterium. RNAcentral describes it as "partial 16S ribosomal RNA". It matches the Rfam family "Bacterial small subunit ribosomal RNA", at positions 57 to 305 of the family's 1533-position model. The record is from RNAcentral.